Molecule: non-coding RNA, 26 nt
Filed under: Mus musculus (house mouse)
Lineage: Eukaryota; Metazoa; Chordata; Mammalia; Rodentia; Muridae
Also listed under: 1 other name
Source: RNAcentral
UAGGUGAACCUGCGGAAGGAUCUUUA